Molecule: unclassified non-coding RNA, 2137 nt
Filed under: Hevea brasiliensis (rubber tree)
Lineage: Eukaryota; Viridiplantae; Streptophyta; Magnoliopsida; Malpighiales; Euphorbiaceae
Source: RNAcentral
UACACAUCGACCCCUUUAUUCAUUUUUCUACUUUGAAUUUCUCGAUUCACCUUACAGAAUCUACUUUUGAGAAAAAAAUCCAUCAAAGUUUCUUCGUUUUCUGUGUUAAAAAGUUUGGAUCUUGGUAAUGACUGUAACUCCGGUGGGCAAUCAGGUGGUGGAAGUUCCACCGUUGAAUACUUUACCCAUUGGAUAUCGUUUUCGUCCUACGGAUGAGGAGCUUAUCAAUCAUUAUUUGUGCUUGAAGAUCAAUGGUUGUCAUGAUCAAGUGGGUGUUAUUCGUGAAAUUGAUAUCUGCAAAUUCGAGCCCUGGGAUUUGCCUGAUUUGUCUGUUGUAGAGUCAAAUGACAACGAGUGGUUCUACUUCUGCCCGAUAGACAGGAAGUACCAAAAUGGGCAGCGAUUGAACCGAGCAACAGAACGAGGAUACUGGAAAGCUACUGGUAAAGAUAGAAACAUAGCUACUAGAAAGGGGGCAAAGAUUGGGAUGAAGAAGACUUUGGUGUACUACAAUGGGCGAGCUCCUGAAGGGAAGAGGACCAAUUGGGUGAUCCAUGAAUAUCGUGCAACUGACAAGUCAUUGGAUGGUUCACGCCCUGGACAGGGAGCCUUUGUGCUUUGUCGUCUCUUUAAGAAGAAUGAAUUGAAGCAAGAUGAAAAUGUCGAAAGUUCACAUUUUGAUGAAGUUGAACAUCUUGUUUCUUCUCCUGCUGUUGGAAUAUCACCAACCGAUGAUGGAUUAUCAGCAGUGGCUCUAUCUCCAAUCAUGGAAAGUGAGAGUAAUAAAAGUAACCCACCAAAAACCUCUGGAUGCAAAACUCAUGACACAAGAUUAUCUAUUGAUAGUUGUGGCAAUAGUUGCACUGCUGGUGAUGGUGAAGAUUUGAUGGUGGACAUAACAUCAGGACAACCAGAUCUCCAGAUAGAGGAAUUGUUGGGACUCUUUCGCGACCCUUCACCAGAGCCUAUUGAUUGGUCUCCGUUGCAUUCACAGUCGCAGGUGGAGUUUGGAUCUUCUAUCUCACAUGGUACCAUGAGCAAUGAGAUAAACUGUGAUCAAAAGGAUGUCCAGUGUCAGAAUGUAAUAAAUGAUCUCAAUACGAAUGAGUUUCUAAAUUCAAUUCUUGUCAGCUCUGAUGAGUUUUCAUAUGAAGAUUCUGAAAAGGAAUUGAGGUCAAUGUGGUUUGCCUCGAACAGUAUUAACACUAUAACAACGGCACCAGUUACGGAUUCUGGAACGUGUAGUGUGUUGAAGUCACAAGUCACACAAGAGCCAGUUAGGAGAGAUAUAUUUGAACCUGAGCUGCUGUUGGGAAAUUGUGGAGAGACUGCAUUAAUGAGAGAGGUUAAUUCUGUUGCAACCUCAGUGGACGAGGUGUUUGCAACACCUUAUUUUCGCAAUGAUCACUCAAUGGGGAAUGUAGGCACUGAUUCUGCUUUUGGAAUAACACUAAGGACUCGGCGGACGCAGAAUCAACCUGACAACAGCCAGCCCGGAUCUGGAAUGCAAGGAACUACUGUUAGAAGAAUACGUUACCAAGUGAAACUUCAAACCGGAAGAGUAGAGCGUCGCAUGCCGACUGAUUCUGAUCAGGGUGGAGCAAAUCAUGAAGGACUGUCAGCUGUAUCUGAGAGUGAAAAGUUCUCCAAUGAAGAUAGUUCUUCUUUGAGUGCUGCUAUCUCCAGUGAUGUGACACAAGAUACCAUGUGCAAAGAAUUAAAAGGGGAUCGUCAAAUGGCUGAAGACUUGAGGAGUGCAAAUGUGAAAGAUACAAAUGCUUUAAAGAGAGCAGCAUUGUCUUCGUUUUCAUUAAGUUUCUACAUAUCCAAGGUGUUCGCUGUUGCAAGUUUACUCAUAGUCUUCUUAGGUGUUUGUGGAUUCUUUAAGCUGAGACAGUCUGCAUCCAAAUUGUAGCUUCUUGUAACUGGCUUAACAUGUUUUGUUGAUUUUAUCUCCUUUUCAAAUACUGCAAAGGAGCUAAAGUUGAGAAAACUUAAAAGUUACUACUAGUGUAUACUUUAUAUUAUAAUUAGCUUGUUUUGUACAUUACUAGCACUAUAUUGUGCAAGGAGAUGUAGUUACUUUAGACUUUUUUCCAAAGAUUUUCAUUUGGCAUUUUGACUUCACUCAAUAGAU